RNAcentral lists this ribosomal RNA (176 nucleotides) under Pseudomonas putida LF54. Its description in RNAcentral is "partial 16S ribosomal RNA". It matches the Rfam family "Bacterial small subunit ribosomal RNA", at positions 1 to 172 of the family's 1533-position model. The record is from RNAcentral. Lineage: Bacteria; Pseudomonadati; Pseudomonadota; Gammaproteobacteria; Pseudomonadales; Pseudomonadaceae.
GUUUGAACUGAAGAGUUUGAUCAUGGCUCAGAUUGAACGCUGGCGGCAGGCCUAACACAUGCAAGUCGAGCGGAUGAAGAGAGCUUGCUCUCUGAUUCAGCGGCGGACGGGUGAGUAAUGCCUAGGAAUCUGCCUGGUAGUGGGGGACAACGUUUCGAAAGGAACGCUAAUACCGC